This 460-nucleotide ribosomal RNA is filed under the name uncultured bacterium. Its description in RNAcentral is "partial 16S ribosomal RNA". It matches the Rfam family "Bacterial small subunit ribosomal RNA", at positions 338 to 795 of the family's 1533-position model. The record is from RNAcentral.
CCUACGGGUGGCAGCAGUGAGGAAUAUUGGUCAAUGGGCGUAAGCCUGAACCAGCCAAGUCGCGUGAGGGAUGACGGCUCUAUGGAUCGUAAACCUCUUUUAUAAGGGAAUAAAGUGUGGGACGUGUCCCAUUUUGUAUGUACUUUAUGAAUAAGGAUCGGCUAACUCCGUGCCAGCAGCCGCGGUAAUACGGAGGAUCCGAGCGUUAUCCGGAUUUAUUGGGUUUAAAGGGUGCGUAGGCGGGCUGUUAAGUCAGUGGUGAAAGUUUGCGGCUCAACCAUAGAAUUGCCGUUGAUACUGGGAGGCUUGAGUAUAUUUGAGGCAGGCGGAAUGCGUGGUGUAGCGGUGAAAUGCUUAGAUAUCACGCAGAACCCCGAUUGCGAAGGCAGCCUGCCAAGCCAUGACUGACGCUGAUGCUCGAAAGCGUGGGGAUCAAACAGGAUUAGAUACCCGGGUAGUC